GGGGUUGUGGCUCAGCGGUAGAGCGUUUGUCUACCACGUACAAAGCCCUGGUUUCGAUCCUCAGAACCACA
This 71-nucleotide transfer RNA is filed under the name Marmota monax (woodchuck). RNAcentral's name for it is "tRNA.Gly". The record is from RNAcentral. Lineage: Eukaryota; Metazoa; Chordata; Mammalia; Rodentia; Sciuridae.